CCUACGGGAGGCAGCAGUGAGGAAUAUUGGUCAAUGGGCGCGAGCCUGAACCAGCCAAGUAGCGUGAAGGAUGACUGCCCUACGGGUUGUAAACUUCUUUUAUAAAGGAAUAAAGUGAGGCACGUGUGCCUUUUUGUAUGUACUUUAUGAAUAAGGAUCGGCUAACCCCGUGCCAGCAGCGGCGGUAAUACGGAGGAUCCGAGAGUUAGCCGGACUUAUUGGGUUUAAAGGGAGCGUAGAUGGGUUGUUAAGUCAGUUGUGAAAGUGUGCGGCUCAACCGUAAAAUUGCAAUUGAUACUGGCAGCCUUGAGUGCAGUUGAGGUAGGCGGAAUGCGUGGUGUAGCGGUGAAAUGCUUAGAUAUAACGAAGAACUCCGAUUGCGAAGGCAGCCUACUAAACUGCCACUGACGUUGAUGCUCGAAAGUGUGGGUAUCAAACAGGAUUAGAUACCCGAGUAGUC
Molecule: ribosomal RNA, 460 nt
Filed under: uncultured bacterium
Lineage: Bacteria
Description: partial 16S ribosomal RNA
Rfam family: Bacterial small subunit ribosomal RNA
Source: RNAcentral